This is a long non-coding RNA of Cyprinus carpio carpio, 1768 nucleotides long. Lineage: Eukaryota; Metazoa; Chordata; Actinopteri; Cypriniformes; Cyprinidae. The record is from Ensembl.
AUGAUCUCUCUCUCUCUCAGUUUAAUGCACUUGACUAAUUUGCUUAAUUUUGAAAUGAUAAUGUUUCAUUCUGUUUUGACUUGCCAUUUCAAAGACUACAUAUUAACAAUACUACACUUCGUUAAAAAUGUAUGUGAUCAUUUAACCAUUAUCAUGCAUCUUGUUUAUCAUGGGUCACAUAAUAUGCUGCCAGAUCAUAGCCUGAUUUGGGCCACAUAUCACCUGACUGAUCUGGGCCACACUCCUCCCACCAACAAUCGGCCCUCAUAUUGUUUGCCGGAUCCCCGCCCUGCCGUCAUUGCCACACAUGGCCCAACUCUGGCUGAAAGGGUACAUGCCAUUGCCGACAGGAGGCCAGCAGUGCCAGCUUGAGGACACAUUUGGGCCAAGUCCGUUUGCUAUGUGGGUUGUUGAUCAAGAACAUAGUGGUGAUAAAUAGCAGGUUUUUAUAUUAAUACAUUUAAAAUGCUUCUCACCACUUCGAUCAGCAGCUCCUCCUCUCAUGACCCGAGCCACAACUAGCUAGAUGUUCAUAAAUCUGGAUGGACCAGUUGCAAGCAAGCAUUCCCAGUUUGCCUUGUAAAUCAAUAUGUGAGUGUCAGGAUAAUUCCAAGUAGAAAUCUGGACAGAAGCAUCUUUAGAGAGGGGGAUACUUGUGUGAAGAUCACAAUAUGUAUCCUAAACAUGUUAUGUAGUGACAGCUGAGGAUUAAAUGUUACAUGAAACCAUGGCGGGGGGAAAAAUGAGCGUGACUCAUUUUUGAGUGUGUGUAAAAACUAAAAAGCUCAAAUUAGGACAAAAAAAAGCUGUUGUUUAAAUCACACAGAUGUGUUGACACUAUAUGUUAAACAUCUGAUCCAUGUUGUUUUACUGUCUGAAGGAAAAAUCAGCAGCCAAUGAAAUUAAUCUUUCUGGUUCAUUGGAUCUAAAAAUACAUCAAAUUUGGCCUUGAUGAAUUAGAUACAUGUCUGUGUUUUGCUACAGUUCCAUAUCCAUUAGCACCAUCUCACAUCACUUAUAGAAAAAUCAUUCUUUUCUUUUCAUGCACAUCAUCUCCCAAGACAAUCAGUACACUGACCGUGGCCACAAUACCACAGCAACACUACAGUUGUUUAGGUUGAACCCUCCAAAACAUUUUAACAACUUGCAGAGUUCCUAAAAUAAACUAAUCCAAACUAUGAUGAAAUUUAAGUCCUUUGAAAGGCCUCUUAGAUUACUGGUUUCAGGAGGCCAAGCUUUAACAAGCGUGUACCGAAGCAGACAAUGAGAUAUAUGAUGCUACAAGGGGCACUGAUAUAUGACAAAUUGCCUGUAGUCCUUAAUCACAGGGCUAAGGCCCCCUAUUAGUAGGACAAAAAGAUCUCUCCAGAUUGUGGAGUACUUUUUAAUUCCUUCUCAUGCUUCUUACAUUGAAAAUGGAAAAGCCAUGGCCCAAUGUUUAUAACUCUCUACCCAUGGUACAGAGAGAAAAAAAAGGCAAAAAAACAAAAAACAGAUGGGUUCUGUUCCAAGCCUCUUGAAAAUGGCAUGCUCAAAGAGAGAACACUCCCAUGGCAACAUCACUGAUCAUCAUUUGUAAGGUAACCCCCAUCUGCCAGGUCUGACUUCCACUACAGAAGUCCCUUUAAACUACAAAUAUUUUCACUGGAACAUCGAGCACAGACCAACCCUGAUGACGGGAAAUGCAGGCACUUUUAUUUGUACAGUAUCUGAGUAUGCUACUGGGUUGAUGGCAGAGCACUAGUUUCAGAUGUCAUGUAGACGACCA